CCCUUAGAUGUUCUGGGCCGCACGCGCGCUACACUGACGAUGGCAACGAGUUUUUCCUUCGCCGAAAGGUGUGGGUAAUCUUUUGAAACAUCGUCGUGCUGGGGAUAGAUCAUUGCAAUUUUUGAUCUUGAACGAGGAAUUCCUAGUAAGCGCGAGUCAUCAGCUCGCGUUGAUUACGUCCCUGCCCUUUGUACACACCGCCCGUCGCUACUACCGAUUGAAUGGCUUAGUGAGGACUCCUGAUUGGCGCCGCCGCCCCGGCAACGGAGCAGCGGACUGCCGAAAAGUUGUUCAAACUUGAUCAUUUAGAGGAAGUAAAAGUCGUAACA
This 329-nucleotide ribosomal RNA is filed under the name uncultured eukaryote. RNAcentral's name for it is "partial 18S ribosomal RNA". It matches the Rfam family "Eukaryotic small subunit ribosomal RNA", at positions 1470 to 1796 of the family's 1831-position model. The record is from RNAcentral.